Molecule: unclassified non-coding RNA, 118 nt
Filed under: uncultured Pucciniomycetes
Lineage: Eukaryota; Fungi; Basidiomycota; Pucciniomycetes
Description: sequence contains ITS1
Source: RNAcentral
UUGAAGAACAGAGCGCGCUUCAUUGCGGCUCGCCUUCAUAUCCACAUACCCUGUGAACCGUAAUACUUUUUUUUAUUAUACUCUGCAGUCGAAGAAUGUAUCCUUUAUAAAGUAAAUA